Molecule: long non-coding RNA, 1400 nt
Organism: Ailuropoda melanoleuca (giant panda)
Lineage: Eukaryota; Metazoa; Chordata; Mammalia; Carnivora; Ursidae
Exons: 4
Source: RefSeq, a predicted model, not a curated record
GAGGACAGUCCUUCCUGCUCCUCCCCCAGCCGAGCAGCUCAUUUUGUCCCCAACCUUCUGUCUCCCCUUCCUCCACUCCCCUGAAUUCUUUCAGGCAGGGAUGCAGUUGGGGAGUGAAAAAAGGGCUCCUUUCCCCUCCUCCAGGAGAUUGUCACCCACCCCUUCAUAAGCUGCCUUCUCACGGUCCCUAUUCGCUGAGUCUUGCUCACUCCGACUCACCUGGACCCUGAAUGUGUAUUUGGCCUUUUUCAUUCCUCCACUGUCCUUAGCACAGGCGGAAGUGGGACUUGGGCUGUGGCAAAGAAUACUCCCUGUGGGAGGAAGGACCUGGGUUAGGCCUGGAAGAGCCAAGAUCAGAUAGGUAAGCAGGAGGGAUGGGCCUGCAGGCUGGCAGAACAGAACCCAGGCGCGGAGGCAGGAGGACGUGGGCAGCCUCAAAUUCAGGUGGAGACGGGAGACCCUCUAAGGCGUGGUUGGCAAAUUUCAGAUCACGACCCCUCGGUGGGUGAUCAAAAUUAUUUCUUUGGCUACAAAGAGCAUUUUUUAAAAGUGAAAUAGAGUAGAGUAGAAGCAGGUAGGAUAGAAAUGACAAUGUCAGAGGGUAUCCCGCAUCGUAAGGAUUCUUACCAUUUCCUGAAAUUGACAUUGCAAUUUUCGAUGCAACAUGUGAGGAGACGGGCUCAGAGAGGCAGCUCGGGGGCAGAACUGGGGCCUGGACACGGACCUCCUGCCCAUGGGGCUCCUUCUCUACACACUGUCCCACCUUCUCCGGCUGACGGAGCAGAAGGAACUCAGCUCUUCAACACUCUGGCCCCUAUUAGUUUUACCAUCCCAAGGACACUCCACUUUUUUUUUUUGCACCAACGGGAAGCUGAGUCAUCUGAAGGGGUCAGAUGGCCCAGAUGUUAACAAAGGCUGCUUCCCCGGAGGCCAGCUGGGAGAGAUGCCACCCCCACCCCGGAAUGUUCCUCCCUCCCGCAGACACUAAAUAGAGCACUGCCCGAGGCCCAGCUCGGGCUAGAUGCAUCCAGUAGAUGGCGGAGUCUCACAGGACACGGGCUGGGGAACCCGGCUGUCGCAGGAAAAACCGGAGGGAGAAAAUCGGCUCCUGGGCCCUCCCCUUCAGAUGCACCCAGCCCUCUCUGGGGAAAAAGAGAAGACUUCCCGUGCGCGUCCCAUCAUACCCGGGGAACCUCGAGAUCCUGGACCGACCAGGCAAGACGGGCCCUGACCCACCGUCUCGUCCGGGGUACCCAAGGAAUGGGGAAGUACAGGCUAGACAAAGGAAGUGACGUCACACAGCCAGGCAGUGGCCGAGACCCCACUAGAAGCCCAGAUGCCUGGGGUUUCUUCCCCCUUAGUCUUUAAGAAGUGACUUUGUGCUCUUCAUUCAUUCGUUC